GACGAACGCUGGCGGCGUGCUUAACACAUGCAAGUCGAACGGAAAGGCUCCAGCUUGCUGGAGUACUCGAGUGGCGAACGUGUGAGUAACACGUGGGUAAUCUGCCCUGCACUCUGGGAUAAGCCUGGGAAACUGGGUCUAAUACUGGAUAUGACCUUUCUCCUUAUGGGGUUUGGUGGAAAGUUUUUCGGUGUAGGAUGAGCCCGCGGCCUAUCAGCUUGUUGGUGGGGUGAUGGCCUACCAAGGCGACGACGGGUAGCCGGCCUGAGAGGGUGAUCGGCCACAUUGGGACUGAGAUACGGCCCAGACUCCUACGGGAGGCAGCAGUGGGGAAUAUUGCACAAUGGGCGGAAGCCUGAUGCAGCGACGCCGCGUGAGGGAUGACGGCCUUCGGGUUGUAAACCUCUUUCAGCAGGGACGAAGCGUAAGUGACGGUACCUGCAGAAGAAGCACCGGCUAACUAUGUG
This 467-nucleotide ribosomal RNA is filed under the name uncultured bacterium. RNAcentral's name for it is "partial 16S ribosomal RNA". It matches the Rfam family "Bacterial small subunit ribosomal RNA", at positions 28 to 507 of the family's 1533-position model. The record is from RNAcentral.